Molecule: long non-coding RNA, 273 nt
Organism: Condylura cristata (star-nosed mole)
Lineage: Eukaryota; Metazoa; Chordata; Mammalia; Eulipotyphla; Talpidae
Exons: 3
Source: RefSeq, a predicted model, not a curated record
UCGCUUCCGUCUCCACUUAGCACACAACCUUGGCAGCUAUCUCUCCCAGGUACUCUUUAAGUCUUGCUGUGCUCGUGGACCUUCUGAAAAUUCAUCUGAAAUCGACCUGAGCAGUUUGUCGUCGUGUUCCAGCUCUUGUAGGCAGCAUUUGAUCCCCUGAAAGCUCAUGGGUUAUUUUCUGGACUCCAUGGCACAGGCCCUGAAAGAAAUCAAGGAGAAGAAGCUCACUGCUGACAGCAGAAGGUAAACACGGAUGAACCUCGUGGUCAGGUA